GGGCUUAUGGUCUAGUUGGUUACGACACCGCCUUCACACGGCGGAGGUCUCCGGUUCGAAUCCGGAUAAGCCCA
This 74-nucleotide transfer RNA is filed under the name Thermoplasmata archaeon. RNAcentral's name for it is "tRNA-Val". It matches the Rfam family "tRNA". From Rfam's summary of the family: Transfer RNA (tRNA) molecules are approximately 80 nucleotides in length. Their secondary structure includes four short double-helical elements and three loops (D, anti-codon, and T loops). Lineage: Archaea; Methanobacteriati; Thermoplasmatota; Thermoplasmata. The record is from RNAcentral.